RNAcentral lists this ribosomal RNA (425 nucleotides) under uncultured bacterium. RNAcentral's name for it is "bacterial SSU rRNA". It matches the Rfam family "Bacterial small subunit ribosomal RNA", at positions 355 to 773 of the family's 1533-position model. The record is from RNAcentral.
UGGGGAAUCUUGCGCAAUGGGCGAAAGCCUGACGCAGCGACGCCGCGUGCGUGAUGAAGGCCUUCGGGUUGUAAAGCUCUGUGGGGAGAGACGAAUAAGUGCAGCCUAAUACGCUGCAUGAGGACGGUAUCCCCUUAGCAAGCACCGGCUAACUCUGUGCCCGCAGCCGCGGUAAGACAGAGGGUGCAAACGUUGUUCGGAAUUACUGGGCGUAAAGCGAGUGUAGGCGGUUUCCUAAGUCAGGUGUGAAAGCCCCGGGCUCAACCCGGGAAGUGCACUUGAAACUGGGAGGCUAGAGUAUCGGAGAGGUUGGUGGAAUUCUCGGUGUAGAGGUGAAAUUCGUAGAUAUCGAGAGGAACACCGGUGGCGAAGGCGGCCAACUGGACGAAUACUGACGCUGAGACUCGAAAGCGUGGGGAGCAAAC